GAAAUGCGAUAAGUAAUGUGAAUUGAAGAAUUCAGUGAAUCAUCGAAUCUUUGAACGCACAUUGCGCCCUCUGGUAUUCCGGGGGGCAUGCCUGUUCGAGCGUCAUUACACCACUCAAGCUCAGCUUGGUAUUGAGGGCCGCCCCGGUGGGGCGCCCCCGAAAAACAGCGGCGGUGCGGCCGACCCUGAGCGUAGCAAAACCCUCGCUCGGGACCCCGGUCUGCGGUCGCCCCGAUCCAAACUCACAAGGUUGGCCUCGGAUCAGGUGUGAUUACCCGCUGAACUUAA
RNAcentral lists this unclassified non-coding RNA (288 nucleotides) under uncultured Xylographa. Its description in RNAcentral is "sequence contains ITS1". The stretch from base 1 to 105 matches the Rfam family "5.8S ribosomal RNA", at positions 50 to 154 of the family's 154-position model. Lineage: Eukaryota; Fungi; Ascomycota; Lecanoromycetes; Trapeliales. The record is from RNAcentral.